GACGAACGCUGGCGGCGUGCCUAAUACAUGCAAGUCGAGCGAAGUUUUUCUGGUGCUUGCACCGGAAAAACUUAGCGGCGAACGGGUGAGUAACACGUAAAGAACCUGCCUCAUAGACUGGGACAACUAUUGGAAACGAUAGCUAAUACCGGAUAACAGCAUUAACUGCAUGGUUGAUGUUUAAAAGUUGGUUUUGCUAACACUAUGAGAUGGCUUUGCGGUGCAUUAGCUAGUUGGUGGGGUAAAGGCCUACCAAGGCGACGAUGCAUAGCCGACCUGAGAGGGUGAUCGGCCACACUGGGACUGAGACACGGCCCAGACUCCUACGGGAGGCAGCAGUAGGGAAUCUUCCGCAAUGGGCGAAAGCCUGACGGGGCAACGCCGCGUGAGUGAAGAAGGAUUUCGGUUCGUAAAGCUCUGUUGUUAGGGAAGAAUGAUUGUGUAGUAACUAUACACAGUAGAGACGGUACCUAACCAGAAAGCCACGGCUAACUACGUG
This 499-nucleotide ribosomal RNA is filed under the name uncultured bacterium. Its description in RNAcentral is "partial 16S ribosomal RNA". It matches the Rfam family "Bacterial small subunit ribosomal RNA", at positions 28 to 507 of the family's 1533-position model. The record is from RNAcentral.